AUACGGAGGGGGCAAACGUUGUUCGGAAUUACUGGGCGUAAAGGGCGCGUAGGCGGAUUAUCAAGUCAGAGGUGAAAGCCCUGGGCUCAACCUAGGAACUGCCUUUGAAACUGAUAGUCUUGAGUCCGAGAGAGGAUGGCGGAAUUCCCAGUGUAGAGGUGAAAUUCGUAGAUAUUGGGAAGAACACCAGUGGCGAAGGCGGCCAUCUGGCUCGGUACUGACGCUGAGGCGCGAAAGCGUGGGGAGCAAACAGGAUUAGAAACCCGGGUAGUCC
This 274-nucleotide ribosomal RNA is filed under the name uncultured bacterium. Its description in RNAcentral is "partial 16S ribosomal RNA". It matches the Rfam family "Bacterial small subunit ribosomal RNA", at positions 523 to 796 of the family's 1533-position model. The record is from RNAcentral.